This 75-nucleotide transfer RNA is filed under the name Deinococcus radiophilus. RNAcentral's name for it is "tRNA-Val". It matches the Rfam family "tRNA". Rfam says of the family: Transfer RNA (tRNA) molecules are approximately 80 nucleotides in length. Their secondary structure includes four short double-helical elements and three loops (D, anti-codon, and T loops). Lineage: Bacteria; Thermotogati; Deinococcota; Deinococci; Deinococcales; Deinococcaceae. RNAcentral also lists the same sequence under 5 other names. The record is from RNAcentral.
GGAUGAUUAGCUCAGCGGUAGAGCGUUCGCCUUACAAGCGAAGGGUCGGGGGUUCAAAUCCCUCAUCAUCCACCA